AUUGAACGCUGGCGGCAUGCUUUACACAUGCAAGUCGAACGGCAGCGGGGAGGAGCUUGCUUCUCUGCCGGCGAGUGGCGAACGGGUGAGUAAUACAUCGGAACGUGUCGAGAAGAGGGGGAUAACCACCCGAAAGGGUGGCUAAUACCGCAUAAAUUCUGAGGAAGAAAGCUGGGGACCUAGGAAUAGGCCUAGCGCUUUUUGAGCGGCCGAUGUCGGAUUAGCUAGUUGGUGAGGUAAAGGCUCACCAAGGCGAAGAUCUGUAGCGGGUCUGAGAGGAUGAUCCGCCACACUGGGACUGAGACACGGCCCAGACUCCUACGGGAGGCAGCAGUGGGGAAUUUUGGACAAUGGGGGCAAGCCUGAUCCAGCCAUGCCGCGUGUAUGAAGAAGGCCUUAGGGUUGUAAAGUACUUUUGUUAGGGAAGAAAAGUCAGCUGUGAAUAAUGGCUGAUACUGACGGUACCUAAAGAAUAAGCACCGGCUAACUACGUG
Molecule: ribosomal RNA, 494 nt
Filed under: uncultured bacterium
Lineage: Bacteria
Description: partial 16S ribosomal RNA
Rfam family: Bacterial small subunit ribosomal RNA
Source: RNAcentral